Molecule: microRNA precursor, 156 nt
Filed under: Populus trichocarpa (black cottonwood)
Lineage: Eukaryota; Viridiplantae; Streptophyta; Magnoliopsida; Malpighiales; Salicaceae
Description: MIR2912 microRNA precursor family
Rfam family: MIR2912 microRNA precursor family
Source: Rfam by way of RNAcentral
UCUAAAACUCGAGAUAUGAGCUGAAAACCAAAUAGUGUUUGAGCUGCAUGACAAAUUUAGACUUCUCCGUUGUUGUUACCAUUUGAACUAAAAAAUGGCACUUUUAAAUCUUGGGCUCCUCAUGAAAGUUUUAGGCCUAUGUCUUAGCUUUCUAUA